RNAcentral lists this long non-coding RNA (5416 nucleotides) under Zea mays. RNAcentral describes it as "long non-coding RNA (ZMAY_LNC000482)". The record is from RNAcentral. Lineage: Eukaryota; Viridiplantae; Streptophyta; Magnoliopsida; Poales; Poaceae.
AAAAAAACUCCUUGGAGGAAAAAAAACAACUCUCAAUCAAUGUCCAUCUUAAGCUAUUCAUGUUUUCUCAUAAACAUUUACAGGAAUCAGAAAACUAUGCACCAUAAAACUUAUUGGACUAUCAUGAAAACGCUUAGGGCUUGUUCGGUUAGCUCUCAAUCCAUGUGGAUUGAGUGAGAUUGAGUGGGUUUAAAUCCCGAGUAAGUCAAACUUCUUCUUAAAUUUUUCCAAUCCAAUCCAAUCCAUGGGUAACGGGAUUAACCGAACAAGCCCUUAAUAGGAUACACACAUAACGGGCUACCUGAGGUUUCACAAGCUAAUGCUCUGCUCAUCUUAUCAACUAGCAGAGCACAAAGAUAUGUAAAUAUUUUAGACAUCUUCCUCCUUAAUUGCUGUAAUACCCAAAAAUGUAAGAUAAAAGCAUAGUUGAGAUACAUACAUGGUCUUUGCUUAUGUUUAUUGUAACAUGUGAACCAACACCUCAAAAGUCAUUAAUUAAUUAGUGACACUUAAAGUAAUUUGUGCAUCAUGCUGUGAUUUCUUUGUUUGUGCAUUCACUCAUAAAGAUAAUGAUAAAAGAAAUAUGCAAAUGGUAAAAUCAAUAAAAUAUAAUUAUGUUAAUGUUGUGAAUUGAGACUUAAUUUACAAUUCUAGAAAUUGGAGAAGUAAAGGAAAACUACUAUACAAAAUAAAACAAAAUAUGGGAUAAAUGAAACCUUGCCAUGAUGGUUUGACCAAACUACACAAUUAAAAUGGGUUCAAAUUCCCAAAUAGGUUUGAAUUCAAAUUUGGAUUUAAAGGAAUUAAGGAUAAAAGAAAACAGAAAAUAAAAUCCAAAAAAAAAGAAAAAGGGAAAACAUGGCAACUGGGCUCACUGCUGGGAUUUCGGCCCACCUAGUGAUUUCCUCGCGCCAGCCCGCUACACCGAAUCCGUGAGUGCGCCGACAGGUGGGGCCACGUUGUCAUCUCUCUCCCUCGCAACCGAGCGCGAAGUCUUCGCCGCAACGACCGCCGCGAGAACGCCGGAGCUGCUGGUGGCCGAACCCUCCGAACCGCGCGGCGUACGACUCGGUACUACGCCCUGCUCACCAUUUAAUAGUCGGGUCUUUCCCCUCCUCGCGACACCAGCCAUAUACCCGCCACCGCCGUGCCGCGGAGGUAAACCAGCCGCCGUUGGUGAUUCUCGUCACUGUGUGGUUUCCGUCCUCGGCGGGGGGCCGAGUAGGAUCGUAACCGUCCAGGGAAGCCGGUCGCGCGUUCAAUUGGAGUUUUGUGUCAUUGUGGUGUGCGAAUUGCUCGCCGCUGUGACCACUGCAGGCGAGUUCCGCCCCUCCCCGUGGGCGAGCGUCUCCUUACCUCGGCCGACCAUUGGUGAGUCUCCACCGUGUCCGUUCCUCCUUCCUCCGAGUUAUGCUCUAGCGAAUUGCAGAAUGGUGUAGCUAAGCUUCUAGGUCCGCUGCCCGUCCAUGGUGCCACCGCAGCGCGCCAUGUACCGAGUCCAGCGCUUGCCGUCGACCAAAAUUGGUUGGGGGAUUAAGUUUAGGGAGGCAUCAAUCGUGUGUAGUGCGAGUUAAUUGGCCAAAUGGUGCUCGGGUUGGCCGAAUUCGAAACUCCGGCGAUGCUCCGCCGAGUGGGUGGUAUGCGCCGCCGUCUCGGGGUAGGAGGGGGGGGCUGUCCGGGCGCCGUUGGAUGCAAGGCGAACGGCUCUGAUUAGAUCGGCGCUAGCGUUUCACCUCGGGUCAAUCUGAGUCGUUGAUCUCGCAUCGUGCGGUUAGGGCGUGAUCUCGGGAUAUUUAAAUCCGAACCACCGGUCCUUGAUCCAACGGCUAGCGUAGCGGGCAGGUUCGGUUUGAUGAUAGGUUCAUCGGUGCCGUUCGGAUCUAAUCCAACGGCCCAUAUCUAACGAUACCCUUCGCGGGUCAACUUUACUAAAGAGACCCUAUAGUUUUAAUUAUUCAACCCGCCGUCCUCUCCACUGUUUCCUGAGUCUUAGGAGUUUUACCCCGUAGCCCCUGACUUUUCUAGAAAUCGAGGCCCAGUCCAGAGAUGUUUAAAAACAGAGAAAUAAUAUUAGAAAUUCAUUUUUAAUACAAAAACAAAUCUAGAAACUUGUAAAAUUCAUAGAAAUUCCAUUUUUGGUCCAAAUUGAACCAUUCCAACUUCUAAAAUUUUGUAAUAUUGUUCUCUAUCAUUUAGUGUCUCUGUUUGGUCAUGAAAGCAGUAAGAAAAUUAAUUUAUCAUUUAAUAUUAUUUCAAGCACAUUAAAUCUUAGGAAAUUCAUAACUUAAAAUCUAUAACUCCAAAAUUAAUAAUUCCAGUUCCAAUGAUCUCAUUUUUAUGUGUAGAUUUUUACUGUAUAUUUUGUUUGCAUGUUUUAUGUGAUGUUAAUUUAUGCUAUACUAUGUAUGUAUUGUGUUGAUACGAGUAGACGAGCAAGCCACUGUGGAUUCUGAGGUUCAGCAAGUAGAGGUAGCUGAGCAGGAGCUCAUUGAAGGCAGUUGUGCCCUUGAUCACUUCUUUUACCCACUCAUGUUCUAAUUAAUCAUAAUGAUCUGCAUAGGUUAAUUUGAUGGGACCUAAUAGGUUACCCUAGUUUGUCUAUCUUUAUGCCUUGUUUACCACUAAACUUUCUAGGUAGUACUUGCUAGUGCUAUAUGUGGAUUUGGGCAUUGAGAUACAUAUUAUUCAUACUUUUGUUAUCAGUUGCUAUUUACUGUUCAUGAUAAGAUCAUUAUGUUAAUUGGAACAUGGAGAACCACUCGGGAAAACAGUGCUACCACAAGGGUUUAAUGGGACGCCCUUGGCCGAUUAAUUAGGAAAGCUAGUGGAAGACUACCUUACCCGAAAGGGGCAAGGGCAGUAGGGGAGUGGUCAGUGUAGGGAGGCCCUCAGGAGGAUUUUGCUGCGAUGGCGGUCCUGCAAGGGAUUCCUGCAUUGGAGCUUCCUAUAAACUGUAGCGGGUUUUCUGAAGCUAGUGGAACUUUGUAAAGGCCUCGUAGUGUUACCCUGCCUCGCCUCCUCGGUAGAGGUGUAUGGGAAGUCGCGAUCCCUUGGCAGAUGAGUAACAUGACUUGUGGGUAAAGAUGUGCAACCUCUGCAGAGUGUAAAACUGGUAUACUAGCCGUGCUCACGGUCAUGAGCAGCUCGGACACUCACAUGAUUAAAUUAUGGAACUAAAUUCAAUUUGUCAUAUGCAUUGCAUUGCAGGUGAGGUUGUUACUUUUGUUCUUCUAUUUAAUUGGGUUGGUAUUUACUUGUACUUAGUAACUGCUAAUAAAAUUUUGACCAACUUUAAAAGCAAUGCUCAGCUCUAACCAUCCUCUUUGGUAAGCCUUACACUUCACUGGAGCUCCCACCUUUGGCGAGUUCAUGCACAUUAUUCCCCACAACUUGUUGAGCUAUGAACGUAUGUGAGCUCACUCUUGCUGUCUCACACCCCCCCACAGGUCAAGAGCAGGUACCACAGGAUGAGGCACAUGAAGGAUGCUUUGAUGUGUUCGUGAGAGGUCUAGGCCGUCGUCUCCCAGUCAACUUUGGGUUGCUGGACCGUUGUCUCCUUAUAAUGUAAUUAAUUAAUUAUUUUGUAUAGAACUCCUAUUAUAUAGUAAAUAUGUGACAUUCGAUCAUGUGCCAUGAUUUAUCAUAUGUGUGAGACUUGGUCCCAGCACACCUGGUGAUUAUGUUCGCGCCUGGGUCUUGGUGCCCCGAAACCCGGGUGUUACAGAAGUGGUAUCAGAGGAAUGUUGACGGUAGGACGAAACCUAGAUAGAACUGGACAACCAUUAUCUACUUUUCUUUGCUACUCUGAUUCUUUUCUAAACUUUUCUUAAUCUUUUCUCAUCUAUUUCCGCUUUACUCUGAUUAUUCUUACCUCUUUAUUUCUAAAGACAAAUGUGGAUUUCACACUUUGAAAUCAUGUGCCUAAAGUGACCUUUAGGAAAAGGAGACCCACUCUUAAGAAUAAAAACAAAACUAUUUUUAUAAGUUAUCUAUAUGCUUGAAUGCUUGUUCUUAUGAUAUUUGUCUGAUUUGGAUCUUUGAUUGAGUGUGAUGAGUUGUGGAGUAAUGUCCACAAUUACAUCUGCAUAUACAUAUAGGCAUAAAUAGAAUUCAUAAGGUAACUAGACAACUUAGAUUAUCCUCCAUAAAAGUGUACCUAUUUCAUAUAUAUCCCUCUUAUCUUAAAAGACUCUCUCUUAAUAAGAUCCAUCUUGUCUUAAAAGAUACUCUCUUACAUUAAUAGAUUCAUCUCGUCUCAAAAAGAUUUUCAUCUGAUCCCAAUAGAUCUAACUGACCUCAAAAGAUUCUACCUUAUCCUAAUGGAUUCAUCUUGCCCUAAUAAGCAUAUUUAUCCCACACUAGUGUAACCACCAUGACCUAAUCCAAAAUAAUGAGAUCUUAACUAGUUUAAUCUAGUCGUACCAACCUAAUCUAGAUUCUAUCUAAUCUAUUAUGAUCUAAUCUAGUGUAAGUUACUUAAUGUUGGUACAAAGGAUAAGGCCAUACUCCUAAUUCACUUAAGACUAAAUUGGUGACUUAAAUCAACUCGGCUAUACCCAACAACUUGACCUACAUAACAGAUCUAUCUUAACCUCUUGUCCCAAACCCAGAUGGAGACACCAAGGAGCAAGAAGGAGGAGAUCAACCUCGACAUGGAAGAAUAGGAGUCAAAUCAGAUCUCGAGAUGAUUCAAAUUUACCACCUUGGACAGAGUCUUCCCUUACCAAGUUCUUCUUACCAUCAGCUAACCUCACUCUGACCAUCUCUCUUCUUACCUGUGUGUCUAAACAUAGAAGAUACCCAUGCAUUUCUAAGUACUUGCUAAAUAGUAUUUUAAAAAGAGAAAGAGAGAGACUCUUAAUUUUUGAAUCAAUUAGAAACUACAAUCUCAAUUAUAAACCAACCUCGGUAUAACCCUUCUGCUUACUAAUCUCGAGGACGAGAUUAUUUUUAAGGGGGGUAGGCUUUGUAAUACCCAAAAAUGUAAGAUAAAAGCAUAGUUGAGAUACAUACAUUGUCUUUGCCUAUGUUUAUUGUAACAUGUGAACCAACACCUCAAAAGUCAUUAAUUAAUUAGUGACACUUAAAGUAAUUUGUGCAUCAUGCUGUGAUUUCUUUGUUUGUGCAUUCACUCAUAAAGAUAAUGAUAAAAGAAAUAUGCAAAUGGUAAAAUCAAUAAAAUAUAAUUAUGUUAAUGUUGUGAAUUGAGACUUAAUUUACAAUUCUAGAAAUUGGAGAAGUAAAGGAAAACUACUAUACAAAAUAAAACAAAAUAUGGGAUAAAUGAAACCUUGCCAUGAUGGUUUGACCAAACUACACAAUUAAAAUGGGUUCAAAUUCCCAAAUAGGUUUGAAUUCAAAUUUGGAUUUAAAGGAAUUAAGGAUAAAAGAAAACAGAAAAUAAAAUCCAAAAAAA